Molecule: long non-coding RNA, 2446 nt
Filed under: Nicotiana benthamiana
Lineage: Eukaryota; Viridiplantae; Streptophyta; Magnoliopsida; Solanales; Solanaceae
Description: long non-coding RNA (NBEN_LNC037430)
Source: RNAcentral
GCCGUUCAUCUUUUAAUGAUCCAACGGUCACACGCUUCUCCCACGACCCAAUCCGUUAAACUCCGGUUCGACCCAGUCUCUACCAUCUACCAAACGGUGCCGUUUCUUUUAAAUAAAAGAUCUUGGCCGUUGAUCUUGGUUGAUCCAAUGGCCAAGAUCAAAUCCUUCAUUUGGUACAUAACUCCAAUGCCAUACCCCGCCCCCGAAGCCAAUACCCCAUCUCAGCCAUCUCUCUAAGCUCAGAGAGCUCCCCUGUAGCUCCGCCGUGGACCACCGUAAUUCCGCUUACCAGAAAUCGCCUCACGGCGGUUCCAAUAUGCCAAACGAUCCCAUCUUCACGCUACAACCUCUCCACAACCUUCCCUCUCUAAAUACACACCCCGUUUCCUUCGAAUCAUCCUUGACCUCUUCGAAUCUUCAAUCGAAUGUCGACUGGAAAACGUGACCUCUCCAAUGACCACCAUCUUCACACCAUAACUUCCUCACGACCCCCUCACUCCACUCCCAGGCCCAAUUUCCUUCGAAUCAAACGGAUUCGUUUCGAAUCUUAAUUCCCGUUCAAGAACCCUAUCCGCCCCCACAAGACCCCAGUGGCGGCGGCGCCCCCUUUCGACCCCAAAUCAAUACCCUAUCUCCAUUGGGCCUUCCUCAUCCCAUAUCCACUUUCAUUCCCUUUCAAAUACCACACUAACUCCCUGAACCCUAAAUCACAGAAAACCUUGACUUUGAUUUGAAAUCCGAGGUUGGUCGUUUGAGGGUCCAUUUCGUUUAAAUUGGAGUUUAGCCGUGUGUUUUCAUAUUGAAACACACGAUUAAACUCUAUUUCAAAUACAAAUCAAGAGAAGGGGACGAGUGACAGUAAAUUUUGCCCUUUUUAAUUUCCCAGGUAUUGUUUUCAAUUCCUUUUCUUUGUAUUUUUAUUUGUUAGUUUCCACUUCAAUAUUGCUUCUUCUCCUUCAUUUCCAUUUUUUGUUUUCUUUGUUUUUUUUAAUUGAACCAAGUGUGAAAUUAGCUCAUCGGUAUUUGAAUUUUCUUAUUCUGUUCGAUUCUGGCCAAUGUUUGAUUCUUUUAAUUGAGUCAUUCAUCGAAUCGAAUUGUUUAAUCAAUUAAAAUGUCAUUGAGUUUUGGUCAUUAGUUUAUGUAUUGAUCUGUCGAUCAGUUUACGAACUGUUUGUUUGAAUCCAUCUGUGAAUUGAUUAUAGCUGUGUAGUUGUUUAGUUGUGAAUAAUCAGAAGUUAGUUGUGGUGGAUUUUUAGCUUUGAACAGAUUUUAGAAUUAAGGUGUUUAAUACAGUUUAAUAAGUUUAGCUCUGUCCACUGAAUUUAGGUAGUAACAGUAGGGGUUUUAGGGGUAUUUUGGGAAUGAAAAGUGGGCAAAAUUGACUAAGUUAAUGGCCUGUUAGUCAAGCCUUAAUGUGUGCCCUGAAUUAAGGAGGAAAUUAAGGGAAUAGCACUGUUGAGUAAGUUUUUCAAAUCGGGUAGGCAGACUUUUGUUAUUUUGGGGGAUCGGGUGGUUAAGUUUUUUAAAAGGGGGCAGGUAUGUCUUGGGUUAUAAAUAGAACAGAGUUUGGACAUAAUAGGGAGCUCUUUUUAAUCAAUUAGAGAUUGAGAGCUUAAGACUGAAUUUUUGAAACAGAAAUUGAGAAUUGAGAGUAAAAAUAUAGACUGAAUUUUGAGAGGGAGAUAUUUAAAAAUUAGGAGUAAAAAAAAAUCAGUUCGAAAGAAGACCUUAAGAGUAAGAGUUUUAGACAGCCAGCUAGUUCAAUUAAACUUGUUCCAUUGAAAAAUACCAAAAGUGCUAUUGCAUUGUUUCUCUGGUUCACAAUUUGAUCAAGUUUUCUUCUUUUUUGAUUACUGGAUUGCUGGAAGGUCACUAUUUGGUUCUCGUUUGAUUUUGGGUGUUCAAAUUAGCUCCUUAGGUUGCUUGUUUUGCUGUGUUUCUAUUGAGGUUGCCUGGGUUUGUUGGAAGCUAUUUUUGAGGUCCAAAUUACUUUGAUUACUGGAUUGCUGGAAGUUCACUAGUUGGUUCUCGUUUGAUUUUGGGUGUUCAAAUUAGCUCCUUAGGUUGCUUGUUUUGCUGUGUUUCUGUUGAGGUUGCCUGGGUUUGUUGGAAGCUAUUUUGAGGUCCAAAUUACUCUUGUUUUGGUUGAUUGUGGCUGCUGGUUAUCUGUUAUUGUGCUGUUGUUGUUGUGCUUGUGUUACUGCUGCACUACUGAUCUUCCUCUCCUUCUUUGGCAUUUCCAAAUACCAGGUACACGACUCUUAUACUGGUACAAUGUAGCUGGAACUGUUCGAAGCAUAAAAAAAAUAGCCUUAAGGCUCGAAGUUAUUAAUUUUUUUUUUUAGAUUCUGUAUAUGUAUAUGAUAGAUUUAGCUCAUUAGAAUGGCAUGGUUAAUUGCCAAUGUAUCAAUAGGCUCAAUCUGUAAUAAUUCAAGUUCAAUCCCAU